ACAAUACCAAUUUGUAAGUCGCUCUGGAUAAGAGCGUCUGCUAAAUGGCUAAAA
This is a non-coding RNA of Salmo salar (Atlantic salmon), 54 nucleotides long. Lineage: Eukaryota; Metazoa; Chordata; Actinopteri; Salmoniformes; Salmonidae. The record is from Rfam.